UGGGGAAUAUUGCACAAUGGGCGCAAGCCUGAUGCAGCAACGCCGCGUGAGGGAUGACGGCCUUCGGGUUGUAAACCUCUUUUAGCAGGGAAGAAGCGAAAGUGACGGUACCUGCAGAAAAAGCGCCGGCUAACUACGUGCCAGCAGCCGCGGUAAUACGUAGGGCGCAAGCGUUAUCCGGAAUUAUUGGGCGUAAAGAGCUCGUAGGCGGUUUGUCGCGUCUGCUGUGAAAUCCCGAGGCUCAACCUCGGGUCUGCAGUGGGUACGGGCAGACUAGAGUGCGGUAGGGGAGAUUGGAAUUCCUGGUGUAGCGGUGGAAUGCGCAGAUAUCAGGGGGAACACCGAUGGCGAAGGCAGAUCUCUGGGCCGUAACUGACGCUGAGGAGCGAAAAGGGUGGGGAGCAAAACAGGCUUAGAUACCCUGGUAGUCCACCCCGUAAACGUUGGGAACUAGUUGUGGGUCCAUUCCACGGAUUCCGUGACGCAGCUAACGCAUUAAGUUCCCCGCCUGGGGGAGUACGGCCGCAAGGCUAAAACU
This 538-nucleotide ribosomal RNA is filed under the name uncultured bacterium. RNAcentral's name for it is "partial 16S ribosomal RNA". It matches the Rfam family "Bacterial small subunit ribosomal RNA", at positions 355 to 901 of the family's 1533-position model. The record is from RNAcentral.